Non-coding RNA from Chelonoidis abingdonii (Abingdon island giant tortoise), 5082 nucleotides. Lineage: Eukaryota; Metazoa; Chordata; Testudines; Testudinidae. The record is from RefSeq and is a predicted model, not a curated record.
CCCUUGAUGAAAGGACAUGAUUUUUGCACUACCUGGAUUGGCCACCCGGUUUUAAUUUUCCUCCGGGAGGGAAAUACUUAGUGACACCAGGUGGCCACUCGAGGUAAUGCACUCAGCAUCUCCUUCUGUGCAUUCCAACCUGACCCCCACUGGGACCCACUCAACAUCCUCCAACCUGCUCCGGCGUCCCCAGACUUGCCAGCACUCCGCUUACCCCACCCCAAUCUGCCCCCUGCACGUGGCCCUCCAAUCCACCCCAUCUGUUCCCCAUCUCAGGGCACCCCAACAUCCUCCAUGAUACCCCUUCCCUACACCCCAACCCCAAUUGGCUCCAACGUAUUUCUCCAUUGCUGGGCCCCACUUUCCCAGCACUGCACUUCCCCACACUACCCACAGCCAGCCAGGUUUCCCUCUCUAAUUCCUGUUCCCCUUCCCAGCCACACUGGGGCCUUUCAACCCCUCUCCAACCUGCCCUUACUCUCCAAGGCUUCUGAAUCCCACAUUCCCUCAGUACAGCUUGGGAACAUUACACACUUCUACCUCACAGUGCAGUCCCCAUCGCCAGAUAUCAUACGACUAAGCCAUUGAUGCACGGACCCCAAAUUGCUUACUGAACAUGUCCGUUGAUCAGCCCCAUGGAGUGCUGUCUCCCUUCCUAGGACACAGGCAGGCGUGCUAGGUGUGAUCCCCACAGGUUAGGUCUCGGGAGCCAUGAAGAAGUAGGACGGGACAAAAAUUCUGCAAGGUAGCGGAUAGUGGAGUGGAGCAGUGACUGUCAGUGUUGACUCAGUCUCUGCUCAUUGAGUCUGGCGGAUGUAGAUGGGACUGGAGAGGGAGGCAGGGAUGAGGGCAAGAUUAAAUGCAGCAAUAGAGCUCUGUGUAGUGACGGAUCUUGCUUGGCUUUAUUAGUUUGCAGAGGAAUCAUCCAGGAGCCCUCGCCGGGGGAAAAUAUGGCAGAAGUGGACCUGAGCAGCCUGGACAUCCUUAUAAGGAGACAUGAAUAGUCCUCAGCUUUCUGCCUCUCUCUUAAAUGGCUGUGAUACCAAGGAAAAAGACGUCACGUGUGAGAGUGUACAGCCCUCGUGAUGGAAAACGAGUGAGAGUGAUGAGACUGCGAGCGUUGUUGGUGCCAGGCAGCAGCCGUCCAUCUGGGAGCAGAACAGCUGCUACUAUCACUAAGUAUCUCUUUUGCUGAGGGUUCUGCUCCUCCAGGCAGGGACACCUUGUUAGCUGGGGCUGGGUUUGUAAGAAAAGGUUCCUGACUAGCUGUCGUUACGAGGGAGACAAGGUCCCCAUUUUCAGGGGCUGGUCAGUUCUCUGGCCGGUAGCAGUGUGUCCUCUGCAGCGGAAGGUUAGAUCCCUGAGAAUGACUGCAGGUGGAAAGUUGCUUGCCAUCCUCCCAUGUUUCUCUCUUUCUUCUCUACUGUGUUGGCCAACAUUCUCCCUCUCUGUCUGUCUGUCCUUGCCUCUCCUUGUGCUGUCUUCCUUUGUAGCACACAGGCAGGCGUGCUCGGAGAGCAUCCCGAUGGCCUAUGUAUCAGGAGCCAUGAAAAAGUAGAAGGGGAUGAAAAUAAUGCAGAUUAAUGGGCAUGAAAGCAGAGCGGUGACUGUCAGUGUUAAGUCGGUCUCUGUUCAUCGAGUGGGGCUGAUGUAGAUGGGAUGGAAGAGGGAGGCGGGGAUGAGGGCAAGAUUUCAAGCACCGAUAGAGAUGUGUGUAGUGAUGGCUCAUGCAUGGCUUUUGCAGCUGCUCUUGCAGAGGAAUUGUCCAGAAGCUUCGCCAGAGGAGAAGCUGGCAGAGGUGGACCUGCUCAGCCUGAACAUCCUUCUAAGCAGACAUGAACAGUCCUCAGCUUUCUGCCUCCUACUUUACUGGCUGUGAGUAACAGUGCCGGGAGAAAUGAAGUCACACGUCAGAUUCUAUUGCCCUCAUGCGAUGGAAAGUGAGUGAGAGCAGCGAGCCUGUGAGCAUUGUUCAUGCCAAGCAAGAGCCGUCCAUCUGGAAGCCACCGAUACAGAUAAGUUUCUGUUUUGUUGAGGGUUCUGCUCACGCUCCAUCUGACUCCAGGUAGAGACACACCGUCAGCUGGGGCUGGGUUUGUAAGAAAAGGUACCUGACUAGCUGUGGUUUUGAGGGAGACAAGGUUCCCAUUUUCAGGGGCUGCUCAUGUCUUUAGCCAGGACUGGUGUGUCCUCCUCAGCAUAGUAGAUCCAGGCGGAUGACUCCAGUUGGUGAGUUUCUUGAUUCCAUCCCACUGUUUUCUCUAUCUCUCCUGUAAUGUGUUGGCCAACACUCACUCACUCUCUGUCCUUGCCUUGCCUUGUGCUGUCUCCCUUCAUAGGACAUGGGCAGGUGUGGUAGGUAUGCAUCCCCACAGGCUAGGUCUUAUGAGCUGUGAACAAGUAGAAGACUGAAAUAUUACUGGGCAGUGGGCACUACAGUGCAGGGGUGACUGUGGGUGUUGACUGAGUCUCUGCCCUUGUGGGGCUGAUGUAGAUGGAAUGAGAGAGGGAGGUGGGAAUGAGGGCAAGAUUAAACGCUCCAAUAGAGCUCUGUGUAGUGAUGGUACUUGCUUGCCUUUAUUAGUUUGCAGAAGAAUCAUCCAGGAGCCCUCGCCGGAUGAGAAUAUGCAGAACUGGACCUGAGCAGCCUGGACAUCCUUCUAAGGAGACAUGAGUAGUCCUCAGAUUUCUUUCUUCUGCAUAUCUGGCUGUGAGUAAGAGAGGAAAGAAGUCAGCGGUAAGAGCCCACCCCCGUUGUGAGAUGGAAAGCAUGCAAAAGCCAUGAGAAAAUGAGCAUUACUGAUGCCAGGCUAUGCAGAUGCCAUCGAGCUGGGAGUGGAGCAGCCAUCACCACCAGUCAGAUAAGUGUCUGGUUUGGUGACGACUCUGAUAACAGCCCACCUGCCUACAGGCUGGGACUAUUCGUUAGGUGAGGCUCGCUUUGUAGGAAAAGAUUCUUGACUAGAUGCGGUUAUGAGGUAGACAAGGUCCCCAUUUUCAGGGGCUGGUCAUUUCUCUGUCCACAAGCAGUGUGUCCUCCACAGCAGAUAGUUGGAUCCAGGGGGAUUACUCCAGCUGGUGAAUUUCUUGUCUUUCUCUUGUGUCUGUCUCUCUCCCCCUCUCUCUCUGUCUUGCUUCUCUAGUGUGUUGGCCAACACUCUUUAUCUCCCUGUCUCUGUCCUUGCCUCUCUUUGUGCUGUCUCCCUUCAUGGUACACGGGCAGGAGUGCUGGGUGUGGUUCCCCACAGACAAGGUCUUGGCAGAUACGUGCAAGUAGGAGGGGAUGAAAAUCGUUCCGGGCAGUAGGCGCUAGCGUAGAGUGGAGACUGUCAGUGUUUACUUAGUCACUGUUCAUCGAGUGGGGCUAAUGUAGAUGGGAUGGGAGAGAGAGACAAGCAUGAGGCCAAGAUUUCAAGCACCAAUAGAGCUGUGUGUAGUCACAGCUCAUGCUUGGCUUUUGUAGCUGCUCUUGCAGAGGAGUUGUCCAGGAGCCCUAGCUGGAGGAGGAAGAGGCAGAUGUGGACCUGAGCAGCUUGGACAUCCUUCUAAGGAGACAUGAACAGUCCUCAGCUUCCUGCCUCAGCUUAACUGGCUGUGAGUAAGAGUACCAAGGGAAAAUAAGUCACGCACCAGAAUCCACUGCCCUCAGGCGAUGGAAAGAAAUGAGACUGCGAGUAUUGUCGAUGCCACGCAAAAGCUGUCCAACUGGGAGUGGAACAGCUGCCACUCUCAAUGAGAUAAGUGUCUGUUUUGGUGAUUGCUCUGCUCCCGGCCCUCCCUGCUCCUAGUAGGGAUGCCACAUUAGCUGGGGCUCGGUUUGUAAGAAAAUGUUCUUGACUAGUUGUAGUUAUGAAGGACACAAAGUCCUCAUUUUCAGGGGCUGCUCAGUUCUCUGGCCAUGAGCGGUGAGUCCUCUGCAGUAGAAGUUUGGAUCCAGGAGGAUGACUGGAGGUGCUGCACUUGCAGAGAAAGUGUCCAGGAGCCCCAGCCUGAGGAGAAGUUGGCAGAAGCGGACCUGAUCAGCCUGAGCAUCCUUCUAAGCAGACAUGAACAGUCCUCUCCUUUCUGAAUCCCACUUAACAUGCUGUGGUACCAUAGGAAAAGAAAUCUUGCAUGAAAGUCUACUGCCGUCAUGCAAUGGAAAUCGAGCGAGAGCGAUGGGACCGCAAGAAAUUAUUGCUACCAUGAAAAAGCCGUUCAACUGGGAGUGGAACAACCACCACUCUCAAUGAGAUAAGUGUCUGCUUUGGUGAUUGCUCUGUUUUUGAGUAGCUGUAGUUAUGAGGGAGACAAGGUCCCCAUUUUCAGGGACUGCUCAGUUCUCUGGCCAGUAGCAGUGUGUCCUCUGCAGCAGAUGGUUGGAUCCAGGAGGAUGACUGCAGGUGUUCCUACUGAGAUUGGUCUCUGCCACAGGUUGGCCAAUCUCUCAUCUGACCAAAAAAGUAGUGGCCACCCUGAGCCCAUCCCUAGGGAUGGAAGCCAGACAGUAAUCUGCAGAAGGGAUCGUCCAGGAGCCGCAGCUAGAGGAGAAACUGGAAGAAAUGAACCUGAGCAGCCUGAGCAUCCUUAUAAGCAGAGAUGAACAGUCCUCAGCUUUCUGCCUUCCACAUAACUGGCUGUGAGUAAGCGGUCAGUGUUUGGAAUUCCUCAUCUGUUCUCGCUCCAGUUGUGUGCAGAGGCUCUGAAUAUCCUCGUUGAAUGUGGUGCUGUGUGGGAUUCAAGCUGGGGAAGGGACCAGAGUCUCAGUUGCCAACUUUCACUAGGUAAAUAAGCACCCCGACUUUCAUAAUAAACCAAAAAUCAAGCUAAUCCCAUUUCAAAACAAUUCCAAAGCAAGCCAAUCCCUUGGAACCCCAACACUCUGUGCGACUAAAUCUCCCAUUGCAAGUCGUCAGAGACUGUGGUGGGCCCCCUGUACACUCCUGACUCUCUUCUCCCUUUGCCCCUGUGUGCCCCCAAUUGCUGGGAGCCGACCAAAAAAAAAAAAGCAGUCAGAAGCUACAGCAAACAACAACCUACAAGCCAAAAACUAGCCAACAAGCAACUUGCAAGCCAGUUAGGCCAAAAACAUGACCAAUUUCU